UCCAGAGUUUUGAUCAUGGCUCAGGAUGAACGCUGGCGGCGUGCUUAACACAUGCAAGUCGAACGAUGAAGCCGAAGCUUGCUUUGGUGGAUUAGUGGCGAACGGGUGAGUAACACGUGAGUAACCUGCCCCUGACUCUGGGAUAAGCCUGGGAAACUGGGUCUAAUACCGGAUAUGACCAUGGAACGCAUGUUCUGUGGUGGAAAGAUUUAUCGGUUGGGGAUGGACUCGCGGCCUAUCAGCUUGUUGGUGAGGUAAUGGCUCACCAAGGCGACGACGGGUAGCCGGCCUGAGAGGGUGACCGGCCACACUGGGACUGAGACACGGCCCAGACUCCUACGGGAGGCAGCAGUGGGGAAUAUUGCACAAUGGGCGAAAGCCUGAUGCAGCGACGCCGCGUGAGGGAUGACGGCCUUCGGGUUGUAAACCUCUUUCAGUAGGGAAGAAGCGAGAGUGACGGUACCUGCAGAAGAAGCGCCGGCUAACUACGUGCCAGCAGCCGCGGUAAUACGUAGGGCGCAAGCGUUAUCCGGAUUUAUUGGGCGUAAAGAGCUCGUAGGCGGUUUGUCGCGUCUGCCGUGAAAGUCCGAGGCUCAACCUCGGAUCUGCGGUGGGUACGGGCAGACUAGAGUGAUGUAGGGGAGACUGGAAUUCCUGGUGUAGCGGUGAAAUGCGCAGAUAUCAGGAGGAACACCGAUGGCGAAGGCAGGUCUCUGGGCAUUUACUGACGCUGAGGAGCGAAAGCAUGGGGAGCGAACAGGAUUAGAUACCCUGGUAGUCCAUGCCGUAAACGUUGGGCACUAGGUGUGGGGGCACAUUCCACGUGUUCCGCGCCGUAGCUAACGCAUAAGUGCCCGCUG
RNAcentral lists this ribosomal RNA (860 nucleotides) under Glutamicibacter protophormiae. RNAcentral describes it as "bacterial SSU rRNA". It matches the Rfam family "Bacterial small subunit ribosomal RNA", at positions 9 to 873 of the family's 1533-position model. The record is from RNAcentral. Lineage: Bacteria; Bacillati; Actinomycetota; Actinomycetes; Micrococcales; Micrococcaceae.